GGAGGUGAAAGGGGUCUGGUGGCCCUCCUCGUCUUCAAAACGAGUGGGAUGGGUUUUCUCGUCUGGUGGGUUCGAUUCCUGCCGCCUCCGCCA
RNAcentral lists this transfer RNA (93 nucleotides) under Actinomycetes bacterium. RNAcentral's name for it is "Actinobacteria bacterium tRNA-Sec". It matches the Rfam family "Selenocysteine transfer RNA". Lineage: Bacteria; Bacillati; Actinomycetota; Actinomycetes. RNAcentral also lists the same sequence under 4 other names. The record is from RNAcentral.